RNAcentral lists this ribosomal RNA (477 nucleotides) under Cryptosporidium suis. RNAcentral describes it as "SSU rRNA". It matches the Rfam family "Eukaryotic small subunit ribosomal RNA", at positions 369 to 874 of the family's 1831-position model. Lineage: Eukaryota; Apicomplexa; Conoidasida; Eucoccidiorida; Cryptosporidiidae. The record is from RNAcentral.
AUUAGGGUUCGAUUCCGGAGAGGGAGCCUGAGAAACGGCUACCACAUCUAAGGAAGGCAGCAGGCGCGCAAAUUACCCAAUCCUAAUACAGGGAGGUAGUGACAAGAAAUAACAAUACAGGACUUUUUUAGUUUUGUAAUUGGAAUGAGUUAAGUAUAAACCCCUUUACAAGUAUCAAUUGGAGGGCAAGUCUGGUGCCAGCAGCCGCGGUAAUUCCAGCUCCAAUAGCGUAUAUUAAAGUUGUUGCAGUUAAAAAGCUGGUAGUUGGAUUUCUGUUAAUAAUUUAUAUAUAAUAUUUUUAAUAUUUAUAUAAUAUUAACAUAAUUCAUAUUACUAUAUUAUUAUUAGUAUAUGAAAUUUUACUUUGAGAAAAUUAGAGUGCUUAAAGCAGGCAUAUGCCUUGAAUACUCCAGCAUGGAAUAAUAUAAAAGAUUUUUAUCUUUUUUAUUGGUUCUAAGAUAAAAAUAAUGAUUAAUA